GGAGGAAAAGAAACUAACAAGGAUUCCCCUAGUAGCGGCGAGCGAAGCGGGAAGAGCUCAAAUUUGUAAUCUGGUACCUUCGGUGCCCGAGUUGUAAUCUCGAGAAGUGUUUUCCGUGCCAGACCGCGUACAAGUCUGUUGGAAUACAGCGUCAUAGUGGUGAGAACCCCGUAGAUGAUGCGGAUGCCUGGUGCUCUGUGAUACACUUUCGAAGAGUCGAGUUGUUUGGGAAUGCAGCUCAAAUUGGGUGGUAAAUUCCAUCUAAAGCUAAAUAUUGGCGAGAGACCGAUAGCGAACAAGUACCGUGAGGGAAAGAUGAAAAGCACUUUGGAAAGAGAGUUAACAGUACGUGAAAUUGUUGGAAGGGAAACGCUUGAAGUCAGACUUGCUAUUUGGAGUUCAGCCGCAAGGUGUAUUCUUCAAUUUGCAGGCCAGCAUCAGUUUUCGGGGGUUAAAAAGGGUCUUUGGAAUGUGGCAGCUUCGGCUGUGUUAUAGCCUUUGACUGGAUUAAUCCUUGGGGACUGAGGAACGCAGCGCACUUUUUGCACGGCCCUCGGGCUGUUUUGCGCUUAGGAUGCUGGUGGAAUGGCUUUAAACGACCCGUCUUGA
RNAcentral lists this ribosomal RNA (609 nucleotides) under Colacogloea sp. CLIB 1726. Its description in RNAcentral is "eukaryotic LSU rRNA". It matches the Rfam family "Eukaryotic large subunit ribosomal RNA", at positions 52 to 657 of the family's 3401-position model. Lineage: Eukaryota; Fungi; Basidiomycota; Microbotryomycetes; Colacogloeaceae. The record is from RNAcentral. RNAcentral also lists the same sequence under 1 other name.